GACUUAGCAAAGAAAAGAUACACAUCUAUAGGAAAGAUUUUCAUCAGUUCAGUGCCAAGAACAAAUUUUUCCUGCUAAGCAUUCUUGCCACUUGCAGCAUGUGGACCACAGGUUCAGAGAUGUCAGAAAAUGAGCUAGAAGAGGUGGACUCCUUCCCAGCUCCAAGAAAAUAAUGUCUCCAACUACCUUGAGUUCUUUCCAUCAUUCAUUUGUUUUGCAUGUAAACAGAAUGUUACUCAUAAACCUCC
RNAcentral lists this long non-coding RNA (248 nucleotides) under Manacus vitellinus (golden-collared manakin). RNAcentral describes it as "lncRNA (ENSMVIG00005002668.1)". Lineage: Eukaryota; Metazoa; Chordata; Aves; Passeriformes; Pipridae. The record is from RNAcentral.